RNAcentral lists this ribosomal RNA (445 nucleotides) under uncultured bacterium. RNAcentral's name for it is "partial 16S ribosomal RNA". It matches the Rfam family "Bacterial small subunit ribosomal RNA", at positions 354 to 796 of the family's 1533-position model. The record is from RNAcentral.
GUAGGGAAUAUUGGGCAAUGGAGGCAACUCUGACCCAGCCAUGCCGCGUGCAGGAUGACGGCCCUCUGGGUUGUAAACUGCUUUUAUACGGGAAGAAAAAAUACUACGUGUAGUAUACUGACGGUACCGUAAGAAUAAGGAUCGGCUAACUCCGUGCCAGCAGCCGCGGUAAUACGGAGGAUCCAAGCGUUGUCCGGAUUUAUCGGGUUUAAAGGGUGCGUAGGCGGAUCUUUAAGUCAGUGGUGAAAGCCUGCAGCUUAACUGUAGAAUUGCCAUUGAAACUGAAGAUCUUGAAUGUGGUUAAAGUAGGCGGAAUGUAUCAUGUAGCGGUGAAAUGCUUAGAUAUGAUACAGAACACCGAUAGCGAAGGCAGCUUGCUGAACCAUUAUUGACGCUGAGGCACGAAAGCGUGGGGAGCGAACAGGAUUAGAAACCCGGGUAGUCC